GCUUUACUGUAACUUGAGAUUGAAAUUGGACUUUAUUUGCGCAGUAUAGGUGGGAGACGUUGAGAAUAUUCUUGCGGGAAUAUUGGAGUCAUCAGUGAGAUACCACUCUUGUAAUGUUAGAUUUCUAACUUUGGAUCAUUAUCUGGUCAAAGGACAGUUUCAGGCGGGCAGUUUGACUGGGGCGGUCGCCUCCCAAACGGUAACGGAGGCGCACAAAGGUUUCCUCUGAACGUGUAGAAAUCGUAUCUAGAGUGUAAAGGCAUAAGGAAGCUUGACUGUGAGACCUACAAGUCGAGCAGGGACGAAAGUCGGUCUUAGUGAUCUGACGGUGCUG
This 334-nucleotide ribosomal RNA is filed under the name Navicula sp. BOLD:AAO6950. RNAcentral describes it as "bacterial LSU rRNA". It matches the Rfam family "Bacterial large subunit ribosomal RNA", at positions 2098 to 2431 of the family's 2925-position model. Lineage: Eukaryota; Bacillariophyta; Bacillariophyceae; Naviculales; Naviculaceae. The record is from RNAcentral.